UACGGAAGGCAGCAGUGGGGAAUAUUGCACAAUGGGCGCAAGCCUGAUGCAGCCAUGCCGCGUGUAUGAAGAAGGCCUUCGGGUUGUAAAGUACUUUCAGUCGUGAGGAAGGUGUUAAGGUUAAUAACCUUAGCAAUUGACGUUAGCGACAGAAGAAGCACCAGCUAACUCCGUGCCAGCAGCCGCGGUAAUACGGAGGGUGCGAGCGUUAAUCGGAAUUACUGGGCGUAAAGGGCACGCAGGCGGUUAAUUAAGUUGGAUGUGAAAUCCCCGGGCUUAACCUGGGAAUGGCAUUCAAGACUGGUUAGCUAGAGUCUUGUAGAGGGGGUAGAAUUCCAUGUGUAGCGGUGAAAUGCGUAGAGAUGUGGAGGAAUACCGGUGGCGAAGGCGGCCCCUGGGACAAAGACUGACGCUCAUGUGCGAAAGCGUGGGGAGCAAACAGGAUUAGAUACC
RNAcentral lists this ribosomal RNA (453 nucleotides) under uncultured bacterium. Its description in RNAcentral is "bacterial SSU rRNA". It matches the Rfam family "Bacterial small subunit ribosomal RNA", at positions 340 to 786 of the family's 1533-position model. The record is from RNAcentral.